RNAcentral lists this ribosomal RNA (253 nucleotides) under uncultured bacterium. Its description in RNAcentral is "partial 16S ribosomal RNA". It matches the Rfam family "Bacterial small subunit ribosomal RNA", at positions 524 to 776 of the family's 1533-position model. The record is from RNAcentral.
UACGGAGGGUGCAAGCGUUAUCCGGAUUCACUGGGUUUAAAGGGUGCGUAGGAGGGCAGGUAAGUCAGUGGUGAAAUCUCCAAGCUUAACUUGGAAACUGCCGUUGAUACUAUCUGUCUUGAAUAUUGUGGAGGUGAGCGGAAUAUGUCAUGUAGCGGUGAAAUGCUUAGAUAUGACAUAGAACACCAAUUGCGAAGGCAGCUCACUACACGAAUAUUGACACUGAGGCACGAAAGCGUGGGGAUCAAACAGG